This 947-nucleotide ribosomal RNA is filed under the name Grosmannia aurea. RNAcentral's name for it is "eukaryotic LSU rRNA". It matches the Rfam family "Eukaryotic large subunit ribosomal RNA", at positions 1 to 965 of the family's 3401-position model. The record is from RNAcentral. Lineage: Eukaryota; Fungi; Ascomycota; Sordariomycetes; Ophiostomatales; Ophiostomataceae.
ACUCAAGGUUGACCUCGGAUCAGGUAGGACUACCCGCUGAACUUAAGCAUAUCAAUAAGCGGAGGAAAAGAAACCAACAGGGAUUGCCCCAGUAACGGCGAGUGAAGCGGCAACAGCUCAGAUUUGGAAUCUGGCCCCCAGGGCCCGAGUUGUAAUCUGGAGAGGAUGCUUCUGGCGCGGCGCCUUCCGAGUUCCCUGGAACGGGACGCCGGAGAGGGUGAGAGCCCCGUACGGUUGGACGCCUAGCCUUUGUGAAGCUCCUUCGACGAGUCGAGUAGUUUGGGAAUGCUGCUCAAAAUGGGAGGUAAAUUUCUUCUAAAGCUAAAUACCGGCCAGAGACCGAUAGCGCACAAGUAGAGUGAUCGAAAGAUGAAAAGCACUUUGAAAAGAGGGUCAAACAGUACGUGAAAUUGUUGAAAGGGAAGCGCCCGUGGCCAGACUUGUGCCCCGCGGACCACCCGGCGCCCUCAGCGCCGGUGCACUCCGCGGGGCGCAGGCCAGCAUCGGUUUUCCUAGGGGGAUAAAGGCGGCGGGAACGUGGCUCCCUCGGGAGUGUUAUAGCCCGCCGCGCCAUGCCCCUGGGGGGACCGAGGACCGCGCUUCGGCAAGGAUGCUGGCGUAAUGGCCACCGGCGACCCGUCUUGAAACACGGACCAAGGAGUCAAGCAUUGGGGCGAGUGUCUGGGUGUUAAACCCGCACGCGAAAUGAAAGUAAACGCAGGUGAGAGCUUCGGCGCAUCAUCGACCGAUCCUGAUGUUCUCGGAUGGAUUUGAGUAAGAGCCUUACCGCUUGGACCCGAAAGAUGGUGAACUAUGCCUGUAUAGGGUGAAGCCAGAGGAAACUCUGGUGGAGGCUCGCAGCGGUUCUGACGUGCAAAUCGAUCGUCAAAUAUGGGCAUUGGGGGCGAAAGACUAAUCGAACCAUCUAGUAGCUGGUUACCGCCGAA